UACGAAGGGGGCUAGCGUUGUUCGGAAUUACUGGGCGUAAAGCGCACGUAGGCGGGUCGUUAAGUCAGGGGUGAAAUCCCAGAGCUCAACUCUGGAACUGCCUUUGAUACUGGCGAUCUAGAGAUCGGAAGAGGUUAGUGGAAUUCCCAGUGUAGAGGUGAAAUUCGUAGAUAUUGGGAAGAACACCAGUGGCGAAGGCGGCUAACUGGUUCGAUACUGACGCUGAGGUGCGAAAGCGUGGGGAGCAAACAGG
RNAcentral lists this ribosomal RNA (253 nucleotides) under uncultured bacterium. RNAcentral's name for it is "partial 16S ribosomal RNA". It matches the Rfam family "Bacterial small subunit ribosomal RNA", at positions 524 to 776 of the family's 1533-position model. The record is from RNAcentral.